This 300-nucleotide ribosomal RNA is filed under the name uncultured Lactobacillus sp. RNAcentral describes it as "bacterial SSU rRNA". It matches the Rfam family "Bacterial small subunit ribosomal RNA", at positions 494 to 795 of the family's 1533-position model. Lineage: Bacteria; Bacillati; Bacillota; Bacilli; Lactobacillales; Lactobacillaceae. The record is from RNAcentral.
GGGAUAACUAGGGGCGCGCGGCCUGGGGAAUACGUAAGUGGCAAGCGUUAUCCGGAAUUACUGGGCGUAAAGCGCGCGCAGGUGGUUUCUUAAGGCUGAUGUGAAAGGCCACGGCUCAACCGUGGAGGGUCAUUGGAAACUGGGAGACUUGAGUGCAGAAGAGGAAAGUGGAAUUCCAUGUGUAGCGGUGAAAUGCGUAGAGAUAUGGAGGAACACCAGUGGCGAAGGCGACUUUCUGGUCUGUAACUGACACUGAGGCGCGAAAGCGUGGGGAGCAAACAGGAUUAGAUACCCUGAGUC